This 76-nucleotide transfer RNA is filed under the name Pseudomonas benzenivorans. RNAcentral describes it as "tRNA-Ala". It matches the Rfam family "tRNA". Rfam says of the family: Transfer RNA (tRNA) molecules are approximately 80 nucleotides in length. Their secondary structure includes four short double-helical elements and three loops (D, anti-codon, and T loops). Lineage: Bacteria; Pseudomonadati; Pseudomonadota; Gammaproteobacteria; Pseudomonadales; Pseudomonadaceae. The record is from RNAcentral.
GGGCCGAUAGCUCAGCUGGGAGAGCGCCGCGUUCGCAAUGCGGAGGUCGGGAGUUCGAGCCUCCUUCGGUCCACCA